AUCAAUAAUAGGCUUUGAUGCUACAAAAUCUUAAUGCUUUUGAAAAGGUCAGUCUACCAAGUUGGAGCAGAGGAUGUGAACAUUUUGUGUGGACAUUCUUACAGUGAGUGAUCCAGUCAAGUGAUCCAGCCAAGCCUGUGCUAUAUACAAUUGCAGUUUAGACCUGAUAGAUGGAGAUAAAUUAUUUUUCGUCAUCAAGUUAUCUGAUUCCAACAUUUUGCUACAGUAACCUGAAUGUAACACACUCUAGUAUUUUUGAACUGCAAAUACAUAAUUUUAUGGGCUGUUCUGAAGAAAAAUCUUUCCUGGUAGAUAGAAACUGAGUGAGAGAAAAGCAGAUCUAUUUCUUUGGCACACAGCUCUCGGCUCGUACUUAGCUCCCUACUAAGGUGUGCUUCCUUGCAGAUAUCUGCCUUCCACUUCUGGGUCAUGUGCUCUUACAAUCAAUGUCCUCUCUUAGAGCACUUAUGUCCCUGGAGGAACCACAUCUGUAUUCUUCAUUCACUUGAUGCUUCAAUGUUUAAUGUUGGUUCUCCUUCUCUACUUGCUGAAGAAUAAGAUCACUCGGUCAACACUGAUAAAACACCACCAAUUACCCAAAUCCCUGGGUUAUUUCCAUAAUCUCGACAAUAAGUUUUAUGUUUCAAAGAAAGAGCAGUCAUACACCUCACACCAUGGGCUCUUCUUUUAUGUGACUUGGCUACUGUCCCAGGAAGUGAUGUUUAAUCUCUUUCUACUUGAACAAGAUGAGCCUGUAACUACUACUUCAACCAACACAGCAUGAUGGACGAGACAGUGGGACGUCUGAGGCUGGGCUUGAUAGUCUUCUAUGGUUCCUCUUUCUCAACCACUAGUAUCCAAGACGGUGCAAGACAUCACAAACCUCAAGUGCAGCAGUGCAGGAAAAACAAGAGAGAAGAGAAGGAAAGAGGCAGAGGAAGAAGCCAACCUCUUGGCAAUAUGAACCUCUCCUAAAUAUAAGUAAUAUAGCUGCUGGAAUCACAAAAUUAUUGCAGCAGAGAGAUGAUUCUAUGAGCUACUCCCAUCAGCCUGAUGCUUGCCUUGUGUGCUUGUCUCUACACUGACGGCCAUUGUAAUCAUCUUCUAUAAGAAAGGAGACCUGAGUUCAAUUCCCACAUCAGGCAUCUCACAAACAACUGCCUGUAUUUCUAGCUCCAAAGGAUGCAGUGUCUCUGGCCUCCUUCAGUAUAUGCAUCGGCAUACAUGUUUAAACACACAUCACCAAUCUACUUGAGAGACGAUGGACAUUGAAGAAACUCCACAUGGAGUUUAUUUUCUUUGUGACAAAAGUAAUCCACUGGGCAAGAAAGUGCCCUUGCCUUGACUGCUGACAAUAUGCUGUUCAAAUUGGACAAACAGGACAAAAAAGUGAGUGACUGUAAAACUAUGCUAAGACAAGGUGAAACAAUCCUUCAGAAAAUCCUGCUUCAUAGAAAAGUCUGUUGAAUAUUCUAGGCCUGUAGACUGCAGAUGGAUGCCCCAACAUUGCAGAGGAACCUUGGGUGACUGUCCAUGCAGCCAGCUGUUUCUGUCAUUUCUUACAGUUUUGGAAAUCGCUUCCUCAAACUUCCUGCUUACUCAGUUAAUAUUAUUUCCUUCUUGUGUCCCUAAGGGAGUUGAAGACUAGAUAGUUGUAGUUUUCCUUGUUUUCCAGACUCAGAAAAGAAACUCACUAAAGAGGUGUAAAGUGGAG
RNAcentral lists this long non-coding RNA (1714 nucleotides) under Cricetulus griseus (Chinese hamster). Its description in RNAcentral is "lncRNA (ENSCGRG00015031498.1)". Lineage: Eukaryota; Metazoa; Chordata; Mammalia; Rodentia; Cricetidae. The record is from RNAcentral.